Molecule: ribosomal RNA, 496 nt
Filed under: uncultured bacterium
Lineage: Bacteria
Description: partial 16S ribosomal RNA
Rfam family: Bacterial small subunit ribosomal RNA
Source: RNAcentral
GAUGAACGCUGGCGGCGUGCCUAAUACAUGCAAGUCGAGCGAACGGACGAGAAGCUUGCUUCUCUGAUGUUAGCGGCGGACGGGUGAGUAACACGUGGAUAACCUACCUAUAAGACUGGGAUAACUUCGGGAAACCGGAGCUAAUACCGGAUAAUAUUUUGAACCGCAUGGUUCAAAAGUGAAAGACGGUCUUGCUGUCACUUAUAGAUGGAUCCGCGCUGCAUUAGCUAGUUGGUAAGGUAACGGCUUACCAAGGCAACGAUGCAUAGCCGACCUGGGAGGUGGUUCGGCCCACUGGGACCUGGACCACGGCCCAACCCCCAACGGGGGGCAGCGGAGGGAAUUUUUCCCAAUGGGGGAAAGCCCGACGGGGCAAACGCGCGUGAGGUAAGAAGGUUUUGCGAUUGGAAAACCCUUUUUUUUGGGAAAAAAAAAAUGGGAAAUAAACGUGGACGUUCUGGACGGACCUAAUUCGAAAACCCCCGGUAAACUCGUG